GAUGAACGCUGGCGGCGUGCCUAAUACAUGCAAGUCGAGCGAACAGACGAGGAGCUUGCUCCUCUGACGUUAGCGGCGGACGGGUGAGUAACACGUGGAUAACCUACCUAUAAGACUGGGAUAACUUCGGGAAACCGGAGCUAAUACCGGAUAAUAUAUUGAACCGCAUGGUUCAAUAGUGAAAGACGGUUUUGCUGUCACUUAUAGAUGGAUCCGCGCCGCAUUAGCUAGUUGGUAAGGUAACGGCUUACCAAGGCAACGAUGCGUAGCCGACCUGAGAGGGUGAUCGGCCACACUGGAACUGAGACACGGUCCAGACUCCUACGGGAGGCAGCAGUAGGGAAUCUUCCGCAAUGGGCGAAAGCCUGACGGAGCAACGCGGCGUGAGUGAUGAAGGUCUUCGGAUCGUAAAACUCUGUUAUUAGGGAAGAACAAAUGUGUAAGUAACUAUGCACGUCUGGACGGUACCUAAUCAGAAAGCCACGGCUAACUACGU
RNAcentral lists this ribosomal RNA (496 nucleotides) under uncultured bacterium. RNAcentral describes it as "partial 16S ribosomal RNA". It matches the Rfam family "Bacterial small subunit ribosomal RNA", at positions 28 to 506 of the family's 1533-position model. The record is from RNAcentral.